AUUGAACGCUGGCGGCAGGCCUAACACAUGCAAGUCGAGCGGAGAGGCGGACGGGUGCGUAAUGCCUAGGAAUCUGCAUGGUCGUGGGGGAUAACGUCCGGAAACGGGAGCUAAUACCACAUACUAUCAGAUGAGUCUAGGGGGGAUUAGCUAGUGGGUGGGGUAAAGGCCUACCAAGGCGACGAUCCGUAACUGGGCUGAGAGGAUGAUCAGGCACACUGGAACUGAGACACGGUCCAGACUCCUACGGGAGGCAGCAGUGGGGAAUAUUGGACAAUGGGCGAAAGCCUGAUCCAGCCAUGCCGCGUGUGUGAAGAAGGUCUUCGGAUUGUAAAGCACUUUAAGUUGGGAGGCGUUACCAACAGAAUAAGCACCGGCUAACUCCGUGCCAGCAGCCGCGGUAAUUC
Molecule: ribosomal RNA, 407 nt
Filed under: uncultured bacterium
Lineage: Bacteria
Description: partial 16S ribosomal RNA
Rfam family: Bacterial small subunit ribosomal RNA
Source: RNAcentral